CCUAGGGUGGCAGCAGUGGGGAAUAUUGGACAAUGGGCGAAAGCCUGAUCCAGCCAUGCCGCGUGUGUGAAGAAGGCCUUCGGGUUGUAAAGCACUUUCAGUGGGGAAGAAAGCCUUGGGGCUAAUACCCUCGAGGAAGGACAUCACCCACAGAAGAAGCACCGGCUAACUCCGUGCCAGCAGCCGCGGUAAUACGGAGGGUGCGAGCGUUAAUCGGAAUUACUGGGCGUAAAGCGCGCGUAGGCGGUCUGAUAAGCCGGUUGUGAAAGCCCCGGGCUCAACCUGGGAACGGCAUCCGGAACUGUCAGGCUAGAGUGCAGGAGAGGAAGGUAGAAUUCCCGGUGUAGCGGUGAAAUGCGUAGAGAUCGGGAGGAAUACCAGUGGCGAAGGCGGCCUUCUGGACUGACACUGACGCUGAGGUGCGAAAGCGUGGGUAGCAAACAGGAUUACAUACCCCAGUAGUC
Molecule: ribosomal RNA, 464 nt
Filed under: Vreelandella stevensii
Lineage: Bacteria; Pseudomonadati; Pseudomonadota; Gammaproteobacteria; Oceanospirillales; Halomonadaceae
Description: partial 16S ribosomal RNA
Rfam family: Bacterial small subunit ribosomal RNA
Source: RNAcentral